CUAAAGCUCCAGAGGAAGCCACGGCUAACUCUGUGCCAGCAGCCGCGGUAAUACAGAGGCGGCAAGCGUUGUUCGGAAUUAUUGGGCGUAAAGAGCACGUAGGCGGCUCUGUAAGUCAGCUGUGAAAGCCUUCUGCUUAACGGAAGAACAGCAGUUGAAACUACAGUGCUUGAGUGCGGGAGGGGAGAGUGGAACUUCUGGUGGAGCGGUGAAAUGCGUAGAUAUCAGAAGGAACGCCGGCGGCGAAAGCGGCUCUCUGGCCCGUAACUGACGCUGAGUGUGCGAAAGCUAGGGGAGCAAACGGGAUUAGAUACCCCGGUAGUCCUAGCCGUAAA
This 335-nucleotide ribosomal RNA is filed under the name uncultured Planctomycetales bacterium. RNAcentral describes it as "bacterial SSU rRNA". It matches the Rfam family "Bacterial small subunit ribosomal RNA", at positions 473 to 806 of the family's 1533-position model. Lineage: Bacteria; Pseudomonadati; Planctomycetota; Planctomycetia; Planctomycetales. The record is from RNAcentral.